RNAcentral lists this ribosomal RNA (2615 nucleotides) under Shigella flexneri. RNAcentral's name for it is "partial 23S ribosomal RNA". It matches the Rfam family "Bacterial large subunit ribosomal RNA", at positions 327 to 2925 of the family's 2925-position model. The record is from RNAcentral. Lineage: Bacteria; Pseudomonadati; Pseudomonadota; Gammaproteobacteria; Enterobacterales; Enterobacteriaceae.
UGUUAGUGGAAGCGUCUGGAAAGGCGUGCGAUACAGGGUGACAGCCCCGUACACAAAAAUGCACAUACUGUGAGCUCGAUGAGUAGGGCGGGACACGUGGUAUCCUGUCUGAAUAUGGGGGGACCAUCCUCCAAGGCUAAAUACUCCUGACUGACCGAUAGUGAACCAGUACCGUGAGGGAAAGGCGAAAAGAACCCCGGCGAGGGGAGUGAAAAAGAACCUGAAACCGUGUACGUACAAGCAGUGGGAGCACGCUUAGGCGUGUGACUGCGUACCUUUUGUAUAAUGGGUCAGCGACUUAUAUUCUGUAGCAAGGUUAACCGAAUAGGGGAGCCGAAGGGAAACCGAGUCUUAACUGGGCGUUAAGUUGCAGGGUAUAGACCCGAAACCCGGUGAUCUAGCCAUGGGCAGGUUGAAGGUUGGGUAACACUAACUGGAGGACCGAACCGACUAAUGUUGAAAAAUUAGCGGAUGACUUGUGGCUGGGGGUGAAAGGCCAAUCAAACCGGGAGAUAGCUGGUUCUCCCCGAAAGCUAUUUAGGUAGCGCCUCGUGAAUUCAUCUCCGGGGGUAGAGCACUGUUUCGGCAAGGGGGUCAUCCCGACUUACCAACCCGAUGCAAACUGCGAAUACCGGAGAAUGUUAUCACGGGAGACACACGGCGGGUGCUAACGUCCGUCGUGAAGAGGGAAACAACCCAGACCGCCAGCUAAGGUCCCAAAGUCAUGGUUAAGUGGGAAACGAUGUGGGAAGGCCCAGACAGCCAGGAUGUUGGCUUAGAAGCAGCCAUCAUUUAAAGAAAGCGUAAUAGCUCACUGGUCGAGUCGGCCUGCGCGGAAGAUGUAACGGGGCUAAACCAUGCACCGAAGCUGCGGCAGCGACGCUUAUGCGUUGUUGGGUAGGGGAGCGUUCUGUAAGCCUGUGAAGGUGUGCUGUGAGGUAUGCUGGAGGUAUCAGAAGUGCGAAUGCUGACAUAAGUAACGAUAAAGCGGGUGAAAAGCCCGCUCGCCGGAAGACCAAGGGUUCCUGUCCAACGUUAAUCGGGGCAGGGUGAGUCGACCCCUAAGGCGAGGCCGAAAGGCGUAGUCGAUGGGAAACAGGUUAAUAUUCCUGUACUUGGUGUUACUGCGAAGGGGGGACGGAGAAGGCUAUGUUGGCCGGGCGACGGUUGUCCCGGUUUAAGCGUGUAGGCUGGUUUUCCAGGCAAAUCCGGAAAAUCAAGGCCGAGGCGUGAUGACGAGGCACUACGGUGCUGAAGCAACAAAUGCCCUGCUUCCAGGAAAAGCCUCUAAGCAUCAGGUAACAUCAAAUCGUACCCCAAACCGACACAGGUGGUCAGGUAGAGAAUACCAAGGCGCUUGAGAGAACUCGGGUGAAGGAACUAGGCAAAAUGGUGCCGUAACUUCGGGAGAAGGCACGCUGAUACGUAGGUGAAGCGACUUGCUCGUGGAGCUGAAAUCAGUCGAAGAUACCAGCUGGCUGCAACUGUUUAUUAAAAACACAGCACUGUGCAAACACGAAAGUGGACGUAUACGGUGUGACGCCUGCCCGGUGCCGGAAGGUUAAUUGAUGGGGUUAGCGCAAGCGAAGCUCUUGAUCGAAGCCCCGGUAAACGGCGGCCGUAACUAUAACGGUCCUAAGGUAGCGAAAUUCCUUGUCGGGUAAGUUCCGACCUGCACGAAUGGCGUAAUGAUGGCCAGGCUGUCUCCACCCGAGACUCAGUGAAAUUGAACUCGCUGUGAAGAUGCAGUGUACCCGCGGCAAGACGGAAAGACCCCGUGAACCUUUACUAUAGCUUGACACUGAACAUUGAGCCUUGAUGUGUAGGAUAGGUGGGAGGCUUUGAAGUGUGGACGCCAGUCUGCAUGGAGCCGACCUUGAAAUACCACCCUUUAAUGUUUGAUGUUCUAACGUGGACCCGUGAUCCGGGUUGCGGACAGUGUCUGGUGGGUAGUUUGACUGGGGCGGUCUCCUCCUAAAGAGUAACGGAGGAGCACGAAGGUUGGCUAAUCCUGGUCGGACAUCAGGAGGUUAGUGCAAUGGCAUAAGCCAGCUUGACUGCGAGCGUGACGGCGCGAGCAGGUGCGAAAGCAGGUCAUAGUGAUCCGGUGGUUCUGAAUGGAAGGGCCAUCGCUCAACGGAUAAAAGGUACUCCGGGGAUAACAGGCUGAUACCGCCCAAGAGUUCAUAUCGACGGCGGUGUUUGGCACCUCGAUGUCGGCUCAUCACAUCCUGGGGCUGAAGUAGGUCCCAAGGGUAUGGCUGUUCGCCAUUUAAAGUGGUACGCGAGCUGGGUUUAGAACGUCGUGAGACAGUUCGGUCCCUAUCUGCCGUGGGCGCUGGAGAACUGAGGGGGGCUGCUCCUAGUACGAGAGGACCGGAGUGGACGCAUCACUGGUGUUCGGGUUGUCAUGCCAAUGGCACUGCCCGGUAGCUAAAUGCGGAAGAGAUAAGUGCUGAAAGCAUCUAAGCACGAAACUUGCCCCGAGAUGAGUUCUCCCUGACCCUUUAAGGGUCCUGAAGGAACGUUGAAGACGACGACGUUGAUAGGCCGGGUGUGUAAGCGCAGCGAUGCGUUGAGCUAACCGGUACUAAUGAACCGUGAGGCUUAACCUU